This 289-nucleotide ribosomal RNA is filed under the name uncultured Gammaproteobacteria bacterium. RNAcentral describes it as "partial 16S ribosomal RNA". Lineage: Bacteria; Pseudomonadati; Pseudomonadota; Gammaproteobacteria. The record is from RNAcentral.
CUACAGGGGUAUCUAAUCCUGUUUGCUCCCCACGCUUUCGUGCCUGAACGUCGGUGCUGGACCAGGAAGCCGCUUUCGCCACUGGUGUUCCUUCCGAUAUCUACGCAUUUCACCGCUACACCGGAAAUUCCGCUUCCCUCUUCCGCACCCUAGCAGAGCAGUCUCGAAUGCAAUUCCCAGGUUGAGCCCGGGGCUUUCACACCCGACUUACGCUACCGUCUACGCACGCUUUACGCCCAGUAAUUCCGAUUAACGCUUGCACCCUCUGUAUUACCGCGGCUGCUGGCAC